GGGUAGGUGGCCGAGUGGUUAAAGGCGGCAGACUGUAAAUCUGCUCACGAAAGUGUACGAAGGUUCGAAUCCUUCCCUGCCCACCA
RNAcentral lists this transfer RNA (86 nucleotides) under Akkermansiaceae bacterium. Its description in RNAcentral is "tRNA-Tyr". It matches the Rfam family "tRNA". From Rfam's summary of the family: Transfer RNA (tRNA) molecules are approximately 80 nucleotides in length. Their secondary structure includes four short double-helical elements and three loops (D, anti-codon, and T loops). Lineage: Bacteria; Pseudomonadati; Verrucomicrobiota; Verrucomicrobiia; Verrucomicrobiales; Akkermansiaceae. The record is from RNAcentral.